GCUUGUCUCAAAGAUUAAGCCAUGCAUGUCUAAGUAUAAAUGUUAUACAGUGAAACUGCGAAUGGCUCAUUAAAACAGUUAUAGUUUAUUUGAUAAUCGAAUUUACAUGGAUAACCGUGGUAAUUCUAGAGCUAAUACAUGCUGUUAAGCCUGACUUCUCGGAAGGGCUGUAUUUAUUAGAUAACAAAUCAAUAUUCCCCGUGUCUAUUGUGAUGACUCAUAGUAACUGAUCGAAUCUCAAAUUUGAGAUAAAUCAUUCAAGUUUCUGCCCUAUCAGCUUUCGAUGGUAGUGUAUUGGACUACCAUGGCAGUAACGGGUAACGAAGAAUUAGGGUUCGAUUUCGGAGAGGGAGCAUGAGAAACGGCUACCACAUCUAAGGAAGGCAGCAGG
Molecule: ribosomal RNA, 391 nt
Filed under: uncultured Scuticociliatia
Lineage: Eukaryota; Ciliophora; Oligohymenophorea
Description: partial small subunit ribosomal RNA
Rfam family: Eukaryotic small subunit ribosomal RNA
Source: RNAcentral